UUUCCAUAUUUCUACGAAUCUCUUUCAUUUCUUAAAUAAACAACAGAAAUUUCUAUCUGAGGUCUCUGUGACCUGAUGAGUCAGCCAGUAACUCAAGCUCCUAGUGCCUCAUGUAAGCAACAUUUUGGAGACUUGUGAAUUUCAGGGUCAUGCUGGCGGGAACCGUCAUUUCGGAACUGGGGCCUUGUGUGUGAAAAAGAAUAAAAGAGCUGGAUCCAGGAACAGCAGGUGGAACACUCACGAGCCAUGCAGCAGGAUUCCAGAAAGAUCCCUUCCCAGUUAUCCCAAAGAUUCCACAAGGAAAUGUCCAGUUGCUCCUGAUGCCUCACAGAAGGACAUAACAUUACCUGGAGAAUGUCAUAGGAAGGUGCCCAUAUCUAGGAGAAACCUCCAAUCAUCUCUGAAAAUCCUGCCAUUAAAGGAGGUGGCAGUUUUUUGUGACUAUUGGUGUCUUUCCGUUAACAAAGCACCACGAUGUUAUGACACAGUGCAGCACGGACUCAUCAUCUCCGACCCUGGUCUCUGUGGAGAGGGCAGGCUGAGUGCCUUGCACAGACGUCUCCUUGGUUCUGAUGGCCCAGCGAGGAGAGGCAGGCUUUUCUCUUGUUCUUUUGUUUUAACUCCAAUACCUUAACCUUGUCACUGGGAAAAAAUUCCUUUUGGAUUUUGCCAAUACUUUAAGGGGGGGGGGGGGGGUCAAGCCUUUGAAAAUCUAAUGUACUACAAUAUCAUCAAUUUGCCUUCAAGACAAAUUUUUAGUUUUUGUGACUCAUUCAUACAUAUUUUAAAAGAAAAAUGAGAGCCGGCACAACAGGAGUUAGUGGCCAAAGGCUAUUUUACGGGGCUCAUCCACCCUCCUGUGGGUCUCCCAGAAGCAUCCUGACAGCUCAGAGUUGUCAUGUGGCAGAGAACUGGAGCCUGAACUCUUCCAUACACAGGCAGCUGAAGAAGGUGCCAGCAUUCCUCUCCUUGCUCAUGGACGCAGAAAGCCAACAGCUAAAUGCUGUCUGGGUUUGCCUAAGUCUGCGACCACUUGUGGCAAAAAAACAGCCUGACUAAGCCAAAAACAGAUGACUGGUUCAUCACUAAUUGUCCUAACCAUUUGCAUAUUUACAAUGAAAUAAACUUCAAAACCAAUGCCCAUUGCUAAAGCCUCUUGCACAAUAAAUAUUACCCCCACUUGACAGUGCUUUAAAAACACAUUCACUUAUUUUUUGUGUCGUAGUUAUUGACCUACGUAAAGACGUUGCUAAAGUUCAGCCCUGGGCAGUAAACCACACUUUAG
Molecule: long non-coding RNA, 1285 nt
Filed under: Equus caballus (horse)
Lineage: Eukaryota; Metazoa; Chordata; Mammalia; Perissodactyla; Equidae
Description: lncRNA (ENSECAG00000046318.1)
Source: RNAcentral